GGGCCCGUAGCUCAGUCAGGAUAGAGCGGCGGUGGACCCAGCCUCGGUCCGCCGAGCCUCCUAAGCCGUAGGUCGUGGGUUCGAAUCCCACCGGGCCCGCCA
Molecule: transfer RNA, 102 nt
Filed under: Pyrobaculum aerophilum str. IM2
Lineage: Archaea; Thermoproteati; Thermoproteota; Thermoprotei; Thermoproteales; Thermoproteaceae
Description: tRNA-Arg
Rfam family: tRNA
About the family: Transfer RNA (tRNA) molecules are approximately 80 nucleotides in length. Their secondary structure includes four short double-helical elements and three loops (D, anti-codon, and T loops).
Source: RNAcentral